UGUAGUCACAGCCACGCGAUCCCGGACCGGGUCAGGUUGGAAAGGCGCCGCAGGACACCUGGUCCAGCCUCCUGCUCCAAGCGGGCCAUCCUGGAGCACACGGCACGGGAAUGCGUCCAUGCCGUUCUUGAGCAUCGCGCAGAAGGCAGACUCCGCGGCCUCUCCGGGUCACCCGGGCAGUAAAGCUCUUCCCCCUGUUCAAGUGGAACUUCCUGCGCACCAGUUUCUGCCCUUGUGUUCUGCUGCUCUCGGCACCGCUGAGCGGAGCCCGGUCCGUGCCCUGACCCCUCCCUGCAGACACUGACAGCCCUCGGUGAGGUCCCCUCUCAGUCAUCUCCUCUGCAGGCUGAGCAUGCCCAGCUCGCCCAGCCUUUCCUCGCAGAGAUACUCCAGCCUCUUAAUUGCUUUUGUCACCCUCCGCUGGACCCGCUCCGGGAGCUCCACGUCUCUCUUGCGCUCAGGAGCCCAGAGCGGGACACGGCACGAUCCGCUCGCCCUGCUCCGCUGCUCUCCUCGCAGCAUCCAGCCCGCACCGCGUACCGGGAUGUCUGUCCGGGACAGGAGCCGGGACACACCCGGGAGCGGGAGGUGCAAACGGGAGCGAAGGAGCCGCACCGCGGCGAUCCAGAGUACCGGCGCUCCUCUAUACUUUUCAUUUUACUGGCAUAUCGGGGUUCCUGGAUCCUGGUGGUGGAGUGAGAUCCUGCCAGGGAUGACAGCCAGUUUGGGCAGGCAGCGUGGACCUUGCAAGGGAAGGAAGAGGCAAGAUGGGCUCCUCGCUGACCCUCAGCUGUCAGACACAGCCCGCACGAUGCUCCUGGGGCUGCAGGGACAGGAUGCAUGCGAGGGACAGGUAAGGCCGGAUAGAGCCUAUGUGUUAUUCCCCCUUUUCCCCAUUACUGGUGGCAGGAUUCCAGAGACCUCCAGGCCCCUGUAUCCCAUCGCCGGGCUGUGCAGAAGCUGUGCACACCCGGCAGCGUGCGGUGGGGCUGCUGGAUUCAGCCUCAUGUAGCCCUGAUGUGGCACAGGAGCCACCAUCCAUCCACAGAGCAGUGGUGGCUGUGAGCUUUAUUCUCACAAAGACUGAAACCCACCCUAAGCUCAUGCCUCAGAGUCAAAGAACUAUGACAAUGUUGUUCAGCUCUGAGAAAAAUGCUAGAAGGCAGCAUAAGGAAAUUUCCCACCAUCUAUUUCUUCCAGCAACAUCGCUGUGUUGCAGAGAAAGGGCAAUGUGUAACAAAAAAGCAGCUACCAACAGAGUAAGAAAAAAUAUCUUUGUUAUUAUGAAUACAUCAUAAAAUCACAGUCAUCUUAUACACAUUUUAGUAUUUCAUAUAUAAAUAAAGUGAACAGUAUAGUUAUUGGAAUGUGUAAAAGGAACAAACAUACGGAUUUUUUAAAAUGUGAAAUUAAUAGAGAAUUGGACCCCACCCCACCUUUUGAUGCUGCUCUGGGACUUGGUACAUUAACUCUGAAAUACUUCUAGGCAGAAGGCUAUGCAAGCUGUGAUGCUAACUGUAACCCCAGGCAUUACCCUAAUGCCAUUUACCAUCAUUUUUCCUCUCAUUUUCCCAAUUUAGCCUGACUGUAUAGGAAUUCUUGUGUCAGAACUACAGUUUUGCAAGAAAGACUAAACCUUUACGUACUUGGCACAGUGUUGAAAGCAAACAUUUUUCAAGAUUCAUGAUUUUAUUAAACCCAUUAACAAUCAGAAUUUUCUCAUCACUACACACUCUUGCAAAUUUCCCAUUAAAUAUAUUUCUAAUAUUAAUAAAAUAACAAAUUCUUUAUUAGCCUUCUGCUUAUAAUUUGAUGUCUUAACAUCAAAAUAAUAUUUCUUUCUAAUAAAAUUAUACAUACCAUUUAUAUGAAACAAAGUUGUCAUGUGCAUGAGCCUGGUAAUGAGACUAGCCAUGAGUGUAGAAGUUUCUACUUUCUUGUUUUGGGUUCCUGGGAGAGUUUGUUAUUUUUGGAGCCACAGAGUAAUAAAUAAUUUGCAAGGUAAUGGCUUCUCUGGCUACCACUAACAAAACUUAACAUUGAAAAUAAUUCCUCUGCUCUGGCUUUAUGAAACAUUGGAUAUGCUGAAAAAAAUUACUCUUUCCGAGUCCUUAUGUGUUUACCCCAAAAUCUGAAUGAAAUGUUGCUGAUACAGUGUUUUAUGAGUUAUGACACAGGUAGUCAGAAAUGAGAAAGUUCCAUACAAAGAGGUGGAUGCAGACUGAAGGCUGACCCUUCCCAGCCAGGUGUGCUCAGAGGGACUCUCCCUGCUGCAGGAAUUCCUAUGCCGUGUUGGGUGGUCUUUGCCAUAGUGUCCCCUCCUUGCUGCUGUGACUCAAACAGUUUUGAGGGUAAGGACAAGGACAAACCCAAGGAACACAUUCUGUCAUCUUUUUUUAAAGUACUGUGAAAGCCAAUGAUGUAAUCUCCAGAAAGGGAAGUCAUUGAGGUUUCCAUUCAGAAAGGCAUGUAAACAUGUGCUAUGUUUAUAUUUAUGAUGCUCUACUUACAGUGAAAUAUGUAUUUUAUCUGCUUUUCUGGUCCACUCUCAGCUUUUCCCUGGGCACUUUUACACAUCAGGGGAGUUGUCACCUCUCCCUGAAUUUGAUGGUUAAACUGUGAGAACUUCUCAUUUGGUAUGUGCCUCUAUUUGGAAAAGCAGAACUUAGAACUAAAAUAAGUGCCUUUUUUAGAAUACAUCACCUUGUGGGCAGCAGGCAAUAGAAUUCAGUUUAUAUGUAGGAAGUGAUUCAUCUAACAUAAGUUAGGUCAUUCAGUAGCUGAUGGUCAAAAACCUGCAUCUACUAAUUCUCCAGUGGGAACCAGCCCAAUCUAGCAGGGUGCAGUAGUAAGCAUAUGCAAGGGCUCUGUAAUUUGCUAGAUUUAAAAAUAUAAUAUUUGACAUUUAACAAAUUAAAUUACAAUUGCAUAUUCAUAAAUGAUGUAAUUUAUACUCAGUUGCCUGCUUGAAAUUAAGAAAACAAGACACAAAUGCCUCAAUUCAUGUUAUAUUUGAGGAUUUUUCCAGCCUGCUGCAUAGAAGACCAUCCCUCUUUUGGACACAGGUACCUUUCUAAAGUCUCUUUUUUAUGUGAUUCACAAGAUUACUUGGGUCUGCAGCUGCUGGCAGAGCUCCUCCCAGACAGAGGAGAAGCCCAAGGGCCACAGGUUUAGACUACUAUAAUUUUUUUCAGCUAUCCCCACAAUUUAGGUAUUGCUUUUUAAGUACUGAUAAGGAUAUAACAUGAAAAGAGAUACAGAACACUCAUGUUCUUAGAAGCUAAUGCCCUGGCUUGUGGCUUAGUGGCAGUGAGAUGCUGGAAACAGCCACAGCAAUGAACACAUCCUCUUAAGACAAUACACAGAAGUUAUGGAAAAGUCUAGACAGCCAACUCUUUAUACAACAUGACCUGUGCUGAUGCUGUCUGGAUUACACCAACUAUCCUUUGGCCCAGAGAAUAUGGAAGGGAAUACAAACCUUUACGUAUUAUCUGAAAAGGCCCUUCUUGUAUUUUUACCUGUAUUUAUUCUACUGGAACAUGCAAAUGCUGAAAAAUAUGGCAAAAUAACAACUUUUUCUUUGCAUUUAUGACAUGGACACUACCAAACACUAAACAUACGGUAGAAGUAGCAGCUACACAGACACAACAUUGAAAUUUUGUGCUUAAUGUACUCCUUUAUAUUCUAAGCACGGCAAAGUCCUCAGCAGCUGUGGUAAUCCAAAAGAAAUGGCAACAUACAUCAUCCAUGAGGUAUGGUAUAACUUGUGCAUCCAAUUUUCCAGUGUAAAUAAAGGGCACUCCCUUUUAUCCCCAUUCACAAGUAUAGGAUCCCAUGUGCAGUACCUCACCUUAGCCAUCCUCGUACCAGUUGAAAUGUUUUGUCAUGUGCACUCCUGCACCUACACACACUCCUCGUACACCCAGCCCAACAUGCUGCCACUCUGUGUUCCAGUUUGGUGAAAGACUCUAAGGUUGGUCUCAUGCAGCAGAGGAAGAAAACAGGUGGAAGCUCUUUGCAAACAUGAGGCCUCUCUCUGGUCUGGAUUUCACUCACACUUCAGAAUUUCACCAAGGAAGAUAUGCACCUGCAGGAAGUCAGAACCUGACUCUUUCUGCAAAGCUGGGGUUUAUUUUGUUCUUGCCAAUAAGCCUGCUUGUUUCACUUAGAUUUGGUUUCCUGCUUUAAACAUCCCCUUUAUCUUGCUUAUUGUUGUAUAAUGUGUCCGACUUGAAUCUGUUGAGAAAGCAAACUGGCCUUCACACUGAGCAGUGGGACAAUGGUAAAGAAAAAGUAGUGUUUAUGUGUGUCCUAAAGUAGUUUAGGCCACACACAUCUUUUGACUGUCUCUGAACAAUACUCUAGCAACACAAAGCCAAAUAAUUUCCCAACCAAGCAGCAGCACCCUUGUUUAACCCUUCAAUGUACUUUUUUUUCUGCCUUUUUCUGCCUUGAUGGGGCAUGAUAGAGGACAUGUCUCACAGAUGGCCUCUGCUGUG
This is a long non-coding RNA of Catharus ustulatus (Swainson's thrush), 4499 nucleotides long. RefSeq lists it as uncharacterized. Lineage: Eukaryota; Metazoa; Chordata; Aves; Passeriformes; Turdidae. The record is from RefSeq and is a predicted model, not a curated record. The transcript is spliced from 2 exons.